Molecule: unclassified non-coding RNA, 168 nt
Filed under: uncultured Myxotrichaceae
Lineage: Eukaryota; Fungi; Ascomycota; Leotiomycetes; Myxotrichaceae
Description: sequence contains ITS1
Source: RNAcentral
CCGAGUUCGCGCCCUCCGGGCAGACCUCCCACCCCCUGUGAUCACUACGAUCGUUGCCUUGGCGGGCCGCUGGGCCCUGCCCGGCCGCCGGCUCCGGCCGGCGCGUGCCCGCCAGAGGCCCCUCUAGACCCUGCAUGUUAGUGUCGUCCGAGUCCUGUAUAAUCGUUA